GGGGAAUAUUGCACAAUGGGCGAAAGCCUGAUGCAGCAACGCCGCGUGAGUGAUGAAGGUCUUCGGAUUGUAAAGCUCUGUCUUUUGGGACGAUAAUGACGGUACCAAAGGAGGAAGCCACGGCUAACUACGUGCCAGCAGCCGCGGUAAUACGUAGGUGGCGAGCGUUGUCCGGAUUUACUGGGCGUAAAGGGUGCGUAGGCGGAUGUUUAAGUGAGAUGUGAAAUACCCGGGCUUAACUUGGGUGCUGCAUUUCAAACUGGAUAUCUAGAGUGCAGGAGAGGAGAAUGGAAUUCCUAGUGUAGCGGUGAAAUGCGUAGAGAUUAGGAAGAACACCAGUGGCGAAGGCGAUUCUCUGGACUGUAACUGACGCUGAGGCACGAAAGCGUGGGUAGCAAACAGGAUUAGAUACCCUGGUAGUCCACGCCGUAAAACGAUGAGUACUAGGUGUAGGAGGUAUCGACCCCUUCUGUGCCGCAGUAAACACAUUAAGUACUCCGCCUGGGGAAGUACCGAUCGCAAGAUUAAAAACUCU
RNAcentral lists this ribosomal RNA (535 nucleotides) under uncultured bacterium. RNAcentral describes it as "partial 16S ribosomal RNA". It matches the Rfam family "Bacterial small subunit ribosomal RNA", at positions 356 to 903 of the family's 1533-position model. The record is from RNAcentral.